AUCAUUUCUCAGCGUUUUGGCUAAGAUCAAGUGUAGUAUCUGUUCUUAGCAGUUUAAUACCUUCCUGUAUCGGAAGACAAUAUGCUCAGUGGAUUUGGGGGCCAGGGAGAGGGAAUCAGAGUCGCUCUGGCCACUCCUAGCACCGGCUGGUUUUGCAGGAAAGGUGCACCUCUC
Molecule: small nuclear RNA, 174 nt
Filed under: Suricata suricatta (meerkat)
Lineage: Eukaryota; Metazoa; Chordata; Mammalia; Carnivora; Herpestidae
Description: U2 spliceosomal RNA (ENSSSUG00005017117.1)
Rfam family: U2 spliceosomal RNA
About the family: U2 is a small nuclear RNA (snRNA) component of the spliceosome (involved in pre-mRNA splicing).
Source: Rfam by way of RNAcentral